GUCUGUAGGGAUUUUACACUGCAUAUCUGGAAAAACAAGUCACCGUUUAAACACUAAGUCUACAGCAUGAAUGGUCUGGAGAGCAACGUUUUCUGUCGAUAGCAGUUUCUGUCUGGUGUGAUGCCCCAUUCUUGUGCUGAUGCUACUUGUAGCACUGAGCAGUACUGGAAAGGAGAAAAGGUCUCUUGGAAUAAGAUCUCCGAUGUCCCCCUACAGUCUGCAGUCGCGCGGCUGGUGGUGUGGCACAGACGGAGCAAGGGUUACAUCAAGGCUGUUCUCUGGACCGUGCAAACAGUCUAGACCAAUGACCUGCAGCAUCAUGCCCUUUGAAGAAGAGGCAAGUUCGGUCACGAUGAAGAAAAAUCAAGGCGUACCCCUUUUAACAAUAGGGAGCAGCUCGUGGCUGCAAAGAGGUGCCUGCCUGCCUUUCAGUUUUGCAGUGGAAUCACUGAUCAUUCUUACCACCUCACAACCUACAGGAAAUCUGAACAGAGUGUCAUAG
Molecule: long non-coding RNA, 502 nt
Filed under: Anas platyrhynchos platyrhynchos (common mallard)
Lineage: Eukaryota; Metazoa; Chordata; Aves; Anseriformes; Anatidae
Description: lncRNA (ENSAPLG00000018158.1)
Source: RNAcentral